UUCAAUUCAAAAUUGUAAUUCAGUUUUAAAUUCAAAUUGAAAAUUCUAAUUUCUCGUUAGUUUAAAAUUUUAAUUUUAAUAUCGUUUAUAAAUUUAAAUUUACAAUUUUGAAUUUAGAUUUAAAAUUUUGAAUUUUUAUUUUUGGAGACUAAAGUGAAAAAGCGCAAAGUUUAGUGACCAAAAUUAACAUGCAAAAGAAUGCCAAGUAGGCACUGACAUGACGAUUCCGUUAAUUUUAACACUUUGUUUAACAGCUGGCACGUAAUUGCAACAAAAUCAUGAGACUAGAGACUCGAUUGCGAAAAAAAAAUGUUGGAUGUAAGAGAAUAAAGAAUUUGAAAAAUUAUCUUAUGUCUUCUCUUGGGGGUGUUAGUUAUUUAUAUUGUAGUAUAUUAGUUUAAAUU
RNAcentral lists this long non-coding RNA (404 nucleotides) under Ananas comosus (pineapple). RNAcentral's name for it is "long non-coding RNA (ACOM_LNC002284)". Lineage: Eukaryota; Viridiplantae; Streptophyta; Magnoliopsida; Poales; Bromeliaceae. The record is from RNAcentral.